UUCUGGGCCAAGAUGGCAGCAAUGAGGAAGGCGCUUCCGCGGCGACUGGUGGGCUUGGCGUCCCUCCGGGCUGUCAGCACCUCAUCUAUGGGCACUUUACCAAAGCGGGUGAAAAUUGUGGAAGUUGGUCCCCGAGAUGGACUACAAAAUGAAAAGAAUAUCGUAUCUACUCCAGUGAAAAUCAAGCUGGUAGACAUGCUUUCUGAAGCAGGACUCUCUGUUAUAGAAACCACCAGCUUUGUGUCUCCUAAGUGGGUUCCCCAGAUGGGUGACCACACUGAAGUCUUGAAGGGCAUUCAGAAGUUUCCUGGCAUCAACUACCCAGUCCUGACCCCAAAUUUGAAAGGCUUCGAGGCAGCGGAAGUGCCUCUGGCUGCCCUGGCUGUCCACUGCCAUGACACCUAUGGCCAAGCCCUGGCCAACACCUUGAUGGCCCUGCAGAUGGGAGUGAGUGUCGUGGACUCUUCUGUGGCAGGACUUGGAGGCUGUCCCUACGCACAGGGGGCAUCAGGAAACUUGGCCACGGAAGACCUGGUCUACAUGCUAGAGGGCUUGGGCAUUCACACGGUAAGCCUACCCACCCCCUGGUGGCGACAGCCCCGAACUGACCAGGGGGCCUGAAGCUGAGAACAAAAGUGGAUGGGGGUAUUUGGGGUUGUUAAGGUGCUGAGGAGUAAAGAGGGAAAGGGUUAGCCAGGCGCAGUGGCUCAUGCCUGUAAUCUCAGCACUUUGGGAGGCUGAGGCAGGAGGGUCACUUGAGCCCAGGAGUUCAGGCUGCAGUGAGCUAUGAUCCUGCCAGUGUACUCCAGCCUGGGUGAAACAGCAAGACCCUAUCUCUUCAAAACAAAACAAAAGAGGGGAAGGGUGUUGGGGAUUAUGGAUAUUUGAUCUAAUAUUUUAAUGUUUGUGAGAGUAGGGUUGAGUGAGGCCACACGCAUGGGCACAAGAAGGCUGGAGUGUCAGGGUGACUUUGACAGUUCAGUCCUAGGAGACACCAGGAACAUGGAAGGGGCCCUGGGAAGGGUCAGGUUCAUGACCUGAAAUGAGUCAGUUCUCUCUUGGCUUUGUUUUGUUCUCUGUAAAAUGAGGACAGUAGCGUUAGACAGCUCACCAGGGAUCCGCCAGAGUCCACCAGGGCCCUCAGUGGCGGGACGGAAGCAGAAUAGCAUCUGUGCUUAAAGAUCAGAUGGAACUGGGUUUAAAGCCUACUCCUGCCACUCCCAGGCUAUGAGACCUCAGACAAAUUAUUUCAUCUCUCCGAACCUAAGAAAUGGGAAUAAUAAUGCCAUCCAUCUCAUGGAGCCAUUGUGAGGAUUAAGUAAGAAAACGUAUGUAGAGGGCCAGGCGCACACCUGUAAUCCCAGCACUUUGGGAAGCC
Molecule: small RNA, 1378 nt
Filed under: Pan troglodytes (chimpanzee)
Lineage: Eukaryota; Metazoa; Chordata; Mammalia; Primates; Hominidae
Description: processed transcript
Source: RNAcentral